CCCAGCAGGAUAAUGGUUCACCGCUUACAUUUUUCUUUGAAGAAUACUUCGAAGAAAAUUCGAUGUAGAAUUCUUCGAUACCUGGUAAUGCAUAAAAGUAAGCUAUGCGGAACUUCGCUUACAUUUUUCUUGAAGAAUACUUCGAAGAAAAUUCUAUGUAGAAUUCUUCGAUACCAGGUAAUGCAUAAAAGUAAGCUAUGCGGAACUUCGCUUACAUUUUUCUUGAAGAAUACUUCGAAGAAAAUUCUAUGUAGAAUUCUUCGAUACCAGGUAAUGCAUAAAAGUAAGCUAUGCGGAACUUCGCUUACAUUUUUCUUGAAGAAUACUUCGAAGAAAAUUCUAUGUAGAAUUCUUCGAUACCAGGUAAUGCAUAAAAGUAAGCUAUACGGCUAAAUUCUACUGUGUUCAUAUUUACAAAUCAAGUAAGUACAUGAAAAACGACAAAUACAAAUUGAUGGAAUAAAA
Molecule: long non-coding RNA, 465 nt
Organism: Bactrocera neohumeralis
Lineage: Eukaryota; Metazoa; Arthropoda; Insecta; Diptera; Tephritidae
Exons: 2
Source: RefSeq, a predicted model, not a curated record